RNAcentral lists this ribosomal RNA (460 nucleotides) under uncultured bacterium. RNAcentral describes it as "partial 16S ribosomal RNA". It matches the Rfam family "Bacterial small subunit ribosomal RNA", at positions 338 to 795 of the family's 1533-position model. The record is from RNAcentral.
CCUACGGGUGGCUGCAGUGAGGAAUAUUGGUCAAUGGACGAGAGUCUGAACCAGCCAAGUAGCGUGAAGGAUGACUGCCCUAUGGGUUGUAAACUUCUUUUAUAUGGGAAUAAAAUGUUCCACGUGUGGGAUUUUGUAUGUACCAUAUGAAUAAGGAUCGGCUAACUCCGUGCCAGCAGCCGCUGUAAUACGGAGGAUCCGAGCGUUAUCCGGAUUUAUUGGGUUUAAAGGGAGCGUAGGUGGAUUGUUAAGUCAGUUGUGAAAGUUUGCGGCUCAACCGUAAAAUUGCAGUUGAAACUGGCAGUCUUGAGUACAGUAGAGGUGGGCGGAAUUCGGGGUGUAGCGGUGAAAUGCUUAGAUAUCACGAAGAACUCCGAUUGCGAAGGCAGUUCACUGGACUGCAACUGACACUGAGGCUCGAAAGUGUGGGUAUCAAACAGGAUUAGAUACCCGUGUAGUC